GGAGUGCCCGGAUGUGGGCCUGAGGGGGCGUGGCUCCGCGGCGCCGCUGGAUGCGGCAGGUGUUUCUGUGGUUACCGCUUGUUUACUCGGUAAACAGCCGGGUCCCUCUACCAUCAUCUCCAACUUCAAGAAAAAAGUGCCAAGCACCGCAAGCCAUUCCGCUCUUACUACUAACCAGAUUUUAUUUUUGAAGACAAGCUUGCAUCUGAGUAAUUAAUAUAAAAACAAAGUGUGUAAGGAGAUUUUAGAAUCUCCCGAGGCAAAACUGCUUCUGGGAGGAGGCCAGAUCCCCAGGGACUGGAAUUACAGAGGAUUAUGAACCACCAGGUGGGUGCUGGGAUUCAAACCCACGGUCCUAUGAGUGAGUUACAAACGCUGUAAACCACUGAGUCAACUCACUAGCCCAAAAUCUACUUUAAAACCAAAAGAACUUCUUGACAGCCUUACCAGUUUGACAAGUCUAUGAAGCCGUGGAAACAAGAGAAGUUCAAGACUGGACCCUGGAGCCCAAGGGACUGCCCAAGGUGCAUAAUUUACACACCAAAGCAGACCUGGCCUCCAGGUUCCCCAGCAACCCCUCAGUCCCUACCUGGCAUACCCUGCCCCCAACCGGGAACUUUCCAGCCCAGGUGCUUGUCUGCCCCCCCCCCAAGAGUCUCCUCCCAAUAUAAUCCAGACAUUUAGUCUCUCUACCCUUCUCUCUCUUCCUCUCCUUCUCUUCUUUCUCUUCCAGUGCUCCCUUUUGCUCCCCCACCCCCAUCCCCAUGGCAAAUCCCAUGGCCUCAAUUCCUGGGGUCAGUGAACCUGCCCGCCUAAGAGCAGCAUCCCAGUAAGCCUGCUUUGAGGUACUCU
RNAcentral lists this long non-coding RNA (852 nucleotides) under Mus pahari (shrew mouse). Its description in RNAcentral is "lncRNA (MGP_PahariEiJ_G0005660.1)". The record is from RNAcentral. Lineage: Eukaryota; Metazoa; Chordata; Mammalia; Rodentia; Muridae.